GGCUGAAAUUCGCCUUCCAUGAAGCCGGAAUUGCUAGUAAUGGCAGGUCAGCAUACUGCCGUGAAUACGUUCCCGGGCCUUGUACACACCGCCCGUCACACCAUGAGAGUUGGGAAUACCCGAAGCCUGUGAGCCAACCGUAAGGGGGCAGCAGUCGAAGGUAGAAUCAAUGAUUGGGGUGAAGUCGUAACAAGGUAAC
RNAcentral lists this ribosomal RNA (199 nucleotides) under uncultured bacterium. Its description in RNAcentral is "partial 16S ribosomal RNA". It matches the Rfam family "Bacterial small subunit ribosomal RNA", at positions 1303 to 1500 of the family's 1533-position model. The record is from RNAcentral.